RNAcentral lists this unclassified non-coding RNA (610 nucleotides) under Hevea brasiliensis (rubber tree). The record is from RNAcentral. Lineage: Eukaryota; Viridiplantae; Streptophyta; Magnoliopsida; Malpighiales; Euphorbiaceae.
UCCAGAGGUUUUGAAAAGAUUGCUCGCGGAUGAUGCCAUAGGAAAGGCUAGGAUUUCUUCUGAGGGGAUGCAUGGAAAGGAUGGGUUUACUGUAAGCAAACCCGUGAAUGAAAUUGAAGGUGGACAUGAUGAAUUGAUAAAUGAAGUGGACGUGGCUGCUGCGGCUGAAGAAAAAGAAACUCAUUCAUUUGAAAUAGACCCUGCUCAGGUUGAAAAUGUGAAGCAGCGGUGUCUACCAAAUGCUUUAAAUUAUCCUAUGAUGGAGGAGUAUGACUUCAGGAAUGAUACAGUUAAUCCUGAUCUUGAUAUGGAGUUGAAGCCUCAAGCACAGCCACGACCUUAUCAAGAGAAGAGUCUUAGUAAGAUGUUUGGAAAUGGAAGAGCAAGAUCUGGAAUUAUUGUGCUACCUUGUGGUGCCGGGAAGUCCUUAGUAGGUGUUUCUGCAGCAAGCAGAAUAAAAAAGAGCUGUCUUUGUUUAGCAACAAAUGCUGUGUCUGUGGAUCAAUGGGCUUUCCAGUUUAAGUUGUGGUCUACUAUCCGAGAAGAGCAGAUAUGUCGUUUCACAUCUGACAGCAAAGAAAGAUUCCGUGGAAAUGUUGGUGUGGUGGUG